Molecule: ribosomal RNA, 223 nt
Filed under: uncultured bacterium
Lineage: Bacteria
Description: partial 16S ribosomal RNA
Rfam family: Bacterial small subunit ribosomal RNA
Source: RNAcentral
ACGCUCGACACCUACGGGAGGCAGCAGUAGGGAAUUUUCGUCAAUGGGGGGAACCCUGAACGAGCAAUGCCGCGUGAGCGAAGAAGGUCUUCGGAUCGUAAAGCUCUGUUGUAAGAGAAAAACGAGUGCCAUAGGGAAUGAUGGCGCAGUGAUGGUAUCUUACCAGAAAGCCACGGCUAACUACGUUCCAGCAGCCGCGGUAAUCUGAGCGGGCUGGCAAGGC